UCUUGGCCCCCAACAGGAAGUGAAGCUAAGGGGUGGGCCUAGGAUACCCAUGCACUGGAACACAGAGAUGCUGCGCUCUCUUACACAGAGCCAAGACUUUCCAAGGUUUACAACUUGAGGUACAAAGAUAAUCAUCUGCCCCUCUUUAGGAAUUGAUGUCUAGCAACAUAUGGUGAAAUAUUCCUAUCUGCACGAAUAUGUUUAAUGUUGGCAUCACUGGUAUUUCCAGGCAGACGCUUGGACAGAUCUGGUAUCAUCUUGCAUCACUGUGCUUCAUACUGAAAUCACGCAGGACAGGGAGGACACGAUAAGCAGACACUGGAUCAGAGUUCUGGUCAGCUGCUUCUCCCAAGUCCAGGAUGUGGCCAGAGGGUUGGAGAAAGCAACAGAAGACUCUCAGACUGGACUAUCAGCCAGCCCGGCAGCCCUGUCCUGCAGCUCACCAUUCCCCUGUGGUGCCUCGUGCUCCUGAUGUCUGAAAGGACAGUGACGCUGGAACCUGGUAACCAAGGGCUGCGUGUGUGUGUGUGUGUGUGUGUGUGUGUGUGUGUGUGUGUGUGUGUGUGUGUGUACGAGGGUUAGAGGACGAUGUGCGGGGGCGCCUGUGUGGGACACAGCCAGCACGGGGAUUGCACACUGAACGCUGAAGGGAGGCACUUACUAGAGAGCUUUUGGAAAUGUGUGUUAGAGAAGCAGGACGGCACAAAUGUGAUUUAAAAUCAGCCAUUAGAGGAGAUGGCCCAAGAGGACCGAAAGUGAUCCCACUCUAUGAGGUCCUGAGUGAAAGUUAC
Molecule: long non-coding RNA, 791 nt
Organism: Peromyscus californicus insignis
Lineage: Eukaryota; Metazoa; Chordata; Mammalia; Rodentia; Cricetidae
Exons: 3
Source: RefSeq, a predicted model, not a curated record